RNAcentral lists this ribosomal RNA (392 nucleotides) under uncultured bacterium. RNAcentral describes it as "bacterial SSU rRNA". It matches the Rfam family "Bacterial small subunit ribosomal RNA", at positions 30 to 424 of the family's 1533-position model. The record is from RNAcentral.
AUUGAACGCUGGCGGCAUGCCUUACACAUGCAAGUCGAACGGCAGCACGGGGGCAACCCUGGUGGCGAGUGGCGAACGGGUGAGUAACGCAUCGGAAUGUACCCAGUAGUGGGGGAUAACUAGUCGAAAGAUUAGCUAAUACCGCAUACGCACUGAGGUGGAAAGCGGGGGAUCGCAAGACCUCGCGCUAUUGGAGCAGCCGAUGUCCGAUUAGGUAGUUGGUGGGGUAAAGGCCUACCAAGCCUGCGAUCGGUAACUGGUCUGAGAGGACGACCAGUCACACUGGGACUGAGACACGGCCCAGACUCCUACGGGAGGCAGCAGUGGGGAAUUUUGGACAAUGGGCGCAAGCCUGAUCCAGCAAUGCCGCGUGUGUGAAGAAGGCCUCGGUU